Molecule: ribosomal RNA, 253 nt
Filed under: uncultured bacterium
Lineage: Bacteria
Description: partial 16S ribosomal RNA
Rfam family: Bacterial small subunit ribosomal RNA
Source: RNAcentral
UACAGAGGCCUCGAGCGUUAAUCGGAAUCACUGGGCUUAAAGCGUACGCAGGCGGACGUGCAGGCAUCUUGUGAAAGCCCUCGACUCAAUCGAGGAAUUGCUUGGUGAACCGCACGCCUUGAGACAGGUAGGGGCCAUCGGAACGAUAGGUGGAGUGGUGAAAUGCGUUGAUAUCUAUCGGAACGCCGAAGGAGAAAUCAGGUGGCUGGGCCUGUUCUGACGCUCAUGUACGAAAGCGUGGGGAGCGAACGGG